GAUGAACGCUGGCGGCGUGCCUAAUACAUGCAAGUCGAGCGAACGGACGAGAAGCUUGCUUCUCUGAUGUUAGCGGCGGACGGGUGAGUAACACGUGGAUAACCUACCUAUAAGACUGGGAUAACUUCGGGAAACCGGAGCUAAUACCGGAUAAUAUUUUGAACCGCAUGGUUCAAAAGUGAAAGACGGUCUUGCUGUCACUUAUAGAUGGAUCCGCGCUGCAUUAGCUAGUUGGUAAGGUAACGGCUUACCAAGGCAACGAUGCAUAGCCGACCUGAGAGGGUGAUCGGCCACACUGGAACUGAGAGACGGUCCAGACUCCUACGGGAGGCAGCAGUAGGGAAUCUUCGGCAAUGGGCGAAAGCCUGACGGAGCAACGCCGCGUGAGUGAUGAAGGUCUUCGGAUCGUAAAACUCUGUUAUUAGGGAAGAACAUAUGUGUAAGUAACUGUGCACAUCUUGACGGUACCUAAUCAGAAAGCCACGGCUAACUACGUG
This 497-nucleotide ribosomal RNA is filed under the name uncultured bacterium. RNAcentral describes it as "partial 16S ribosomal RNA". It matches the Rfam family "Bacterial small subunit ribosomal RNA", at positions 28 to 507 of the family's 1533-position model. The record is from RNAcentral.